This 81-nucleotide ribosomal RNA is filed under the name Rodentibacter pneumotropicus. RNAcentral describes it as "partial 16S ribosomal RNA". It matches the Rfam family "Bacterial small subunit ribosomal RNA", at positions 1 to 79 of the family's 1533-position model. Lineage: Bacteria; Pseudomonadati; Pseudomonadota; Gammaproteobacteria; Pasteurellales; Pasteurellaceae. The record is from RNAcentral.
UUGAAUUGAAGAGUUUGAUCAUGGCUCAGAUUGAACGCUGGCGGCAGGCUUAACACAUGCAAGUCGAACGGUAACAGGAGA